UACUAAGUGUCUUAAUUCCUGAAGUGAAA
This 29-nucleotide non-coding RNA is filed under the name Rattus norvegicus (Norway rat). The record is from RNAcentral. Lineage: Eukaryota; Metazoa; Chordata; Mammalia; Rodentia; Muridae.